UACACCGCUCACAGCCCUUGCUUUUGUGUGGACUGAUCUGACCGAGACUGGAAACCUGGAGAGUGUUACCGAAAUAAUCAAUCAGUAUUCGUCUGCUUCGCCUUCUUUUCUUUUCUUCUCUCUUCUCUUCUAUUUAUGCUUAUUUCCAUACCCUUUAUCUUUAUUUGUAUUUCCGCAAUUUAAAAAGCGCAAACAAGUUUUAGGGUUUGAAGGAAGUAGGUAUUAGUGAAGUGGAAGAGGCAUGGCAAAAGAGGGACCCAACUGGGACGGAUUGCUCAAGUGGAGCCUUGCCCAUUCUGAUGGGACUGCUCCAAAUCGCAAUCUCAGUGAGGAGGAUAGAAGAUGGUUUACGGAAGCUAUGCAAUCACAGAGCGUUGAUGUGAUAAAGAGAAUGAAGGAGAUAACUCUUGUGAUGCAAACCCCAGAACAAGUGUUGGAAUCUCAAGGAAUUACUCCUGCUGAUAUUGAAGAGUUGUUGGAUGAGCUGCAAGAACAUGUUGAGUCCAUUGACAUGGCCAAUGAUCUUCAUUCGAUAGGAGGUUUGGUCCCUCUCCUUGGUUUUCUGAAGAACACCCAUGCUAGUGUUCGAGCAAAGGCUGCUGAAGUUGUAACCACCAUUGUCCAGAACAACCCUAGGAGUCAGCAAAUGGUUAUGGAAGCAAAUGGUUUUGAGCCUCUGCUUUCUAAUUUCACUUCAGAUCCUGAUGUGACUGUAAGAACCAAAGCGCUAGGUGCAAUAUCAUCUUUAGUCCGACAUAACAAACCAGGUAUUGCUGCCUUUCAUCUAGGAAAUGGUUUUGCAGCUCUGAGAGAUGCCCUGGGUUCUGAGAAUGUGAGAUUUCAAAGGAAAGCAUUGAACUUGAUCCACUACCUACUGCAUGAGAAUAGUUCAGAUUGCAGCAUAGUCAGCCAGCUGGGAUUCCCACGCAUAAUGUCGCACCUUGCCUCAAGUGAAGAUGCAGAAGUACGAGAAGCUGCCCUUCGUGGCCUUCUUGAACUUGCUCGAAACAAAAUAGAUGGGAACACUGGUAGAUUAGGUGAGGAUGAUGAAAAAUUGAAGCAACUCCUUGAAGAACGGAUUAAUGGUAUCAGCCUGAUGUCACCUGAUGAGCUUGGGGCAGCUAUGGAGGAAAAACAGCUUGUCGACACCCUCUGGGACACUUGCUACAAUGAACCAUCAUCUCUACAUGAUAAGGGGCUUCUUGUACUCCCUGGAGAAGAUUCACCUCCUCCUGAUGUUGCCAGCAAGCAUUUUGAACCUCCCCUCAGAGCUCGGGCUGCUAGACCUGAUGCUAAUAAAAAUUCCAGUACUGAAAAUAAACAAACCCCCUUAUUAUUAGGAUUGGGUCCUGCACCAGAGGCUGCAAAUGUCCAAGGGACCUCUAGUGGUGAAGUCAAUGCUGAUGAACCACAGAACACCUCUACAUAAUGCUGAGGCAGUUUCCAAGGUUUUUAAGCAUUUUUUUUUUGUGCCCUUGGUGAAGGAUCAUAUUAGGCAGUCUAGUUCAACAAUCCAUUUCCUCAUCCCGGUUAACAGUGAUGCCUAGAACUAGAACAUGAGAAAGAAAGGCGGUCAAAAUCCAGAGGGUCUUCUUAGCAACUGAAAAGACGCAAGUUGGCAAGUUGGUAUCGAUCAUGGUGUAUUGGAAACGGCUUCUCGGAGGAUUGAAUGCUAAUAGAUCCUAAUCUAUCUUAAGGAUCUGUUUUGGUUAGUCCUCAUUACUUCUCUGAAAUCUUCACUAAGGCAAAUGAUAUGUGAUUGCUAUACUGGGGAUGUACUGUAACAAGCUCAAUAUCUUUCUGGUGAAAAUUUUGGAUUUAGUGUCGUGUUUCAGUGUUGUCACUAGUGAAAUGGAUUUAUAGUUUUCUUUUCUUUUCUUAAA
RNA transcript from Populus trichocarpa (black cottonwood), 1883 nucleotides. It is a transcript of the gene named hsp70 nucleotide exchange factor fes1, with no coding region annotated. The record is from RefSeq and is a predicted model, not a curated record. The transcript is spliced from 8 exons. Lineage: Eukaryota; Viridiplantae; Streptophyta; Magnoliopsida; Malpighiales; Salicaceae.